Molecule: long non-coding RNA, 3387 nt
Organism: Lolium rigidum
Lineage: Eukaryota; Viridiplantae; Streptophyta; Magnoliopsida; Poales; Poaceae
Exons: 6
Source: RefSeq, a predicted model, not a curated record
AGCCGCCAGGGGGGCCACGCCCAGCUCGCCUACGGCCGCUACCACGUCCUCACCAAGUCCAUCCUCAACGCCGGCAUGAACCAGAUCGUCUUCUGCAUCCACCGUGAUCUCGUCGCGCCCGCCAUCCUCGCCCCCGUCACCUUCUUCCGAGAGAGCAACAAAAAGUGAAAGCGACCCCUCUCCCUCUGAAUUAGAAGAAUCUACAUCGAAUUUGGCUGAUUCUCACUGGAUAUUCGGUGGGGAUUUGGGGAUUUUCACAGGCGGUAUCAUGCGAGGCUGAUAGUCAUGCUAUUCUGCCCAAUCUACUGGCUCUAAUGAAGCAAUCGCAAAACCAUCCACAAGAUUUAUUCUAGAAAACACUGACCUCUCCACGGAUAAGGCAAAUACAGUUGUCAGGUUCUUCAGGGAUCCAUGGUACUACUUGAGCCUAAAAAUCAACUAAUUCUUCUGUUCCCCAUACGUAGCAUAUUUAGUUUGGUUUCUUUACUCUUAAGUAUGGCUACCGCGUCAAGCUUUCCUGUCAGAGAACUGUAUACCUAAUAUUCUUCAAUGACUUAGACUCAUGAUGAUAUAUCAUGUAGUGUUGUGCAAUUCUUUGUCCACUUUUACUUUGGUGGCAUGUUAUUUAGCUCUCCUCUCUAAAUUUCUUUACUCUAGGCGCCGCUUCUUUUACUGAACAAAUGUGCAUGCUUAGCCCAGGCGCCACUUCUUUUACUGAACAAAUGUGCAUGCUUUGCGUAGGGUGGUCUACAUGAUACAUUUCAUUUAUAUUAUGUUUUUGAUAGCUCGUCAAAUGAAAAAGAAACAUAUAUUUUUCAUCCAGAAUUCCAUAUUGGUGGUUCCAGAAGUAUUUAAGCUCUAUAUACUGGAAGCAGAUAGUAUAUGCCAUGAUGAAAAUACCAAGUGGCCAAAUGUUUUGCUCUCACAUAGAUCGCUUUACUCUGCUUUGCUCUAUGGAUAACCAGAGCAAUAUCCUUCUUUAGCUGUCUGUCUCUUCUAGCUCUGGAUACUUGGAUUCUCAUCUUUGAAAAUUCUUGUAUUUCUUUCAUUCGAAAUACCCCACCCCAUCAACCCGAGUAAUAACUUCUAGAGCUAUUUUCUGUAGCGUGUGAAGACAGUGUUUAUUUCAGCAAAGAACGAUAUUCUCUCUGUUUUCCUGGAAAAAUAAAGACAAAUAUUCUUGUGCAAAGCAACAGUUCCAGAAGAGAUGCAUCUGGGGCUUCAGUACACGUUCGUUAGAGAUGGCACAUCAGAUGGAAGUUUUUUCCUCUAUUAACAUAUUUCUUGCAACCAAUGGGCUCCAUGAGUGGGCACUGACAGGACAGGGAUGAUAGCCAUUCUAUAUGCUAUGAGUAUCUAUGUGAUGUUUAUGUACCAUUAGGACUAGAUCAGAUAUACAGGACUUGAAUGGCCAUGUUAAACCACUCUUAUCAUCUUGUAACCGAAUUUCUUGCUAGCUCCACCAGGAAAUUGUUGCGUAUUGUCUGAACUACGCAAUCAUGACUUGGGCAAACAAAGUCCUUGGGCCUUCUUUGGUUGCCCUCUACAACCAGCGUGUUUGGCGAUCCUUUCAACUAUUUUCCUUGGUACCCCGGUUUGUCUCGGAACGUUUGGACAACAGCUCUACCCUAUGUGUUGUUUGAACAUUGUGAUAUGAUGUCUCGAGCUUUUGGUCAUCCAAAUUGGUCAAAUUGCUUCUGAUUGUAUCACCCCGUAAUAUUUCUGACGAAAUGAUCAUGCCAUUGUAGUAGUGGUGAUUGAUGGAAACUUAUGUUGUUUUCCGUAGAUACGGUGGUUAAUAUUUGAUGUUGUUUGAUUACUUUACCUCACUUGUAAGCUAUAUAAUUUGCACAAAACUAUGCAGAACUAAACACCCUUCUCUAUUCCUUGCAGCGACAGUGGAGGCAUCUUCAUCAUUGCUGGCAUAUACCUUGUUACCUGGAUUCGUUACAAGGAAGCACAAUGAAUACUAAUUGGUAGUAGUUAUCUGAGUCCCCUUCUAUUGGAGGCGGAUGAUGCACCAACUUGCAAGCCAGGGGAAGGUUCCUUCAAUGAUGCACAUCAACCUUGCCUAGGUUUGGUGUCGCAAGCUGUAUUUUCUAAUACUACUUCCAGUUUAGGAUGAUACAUCUGUGAAAAUUGGAAGUUGAAUUUGAGAUUAUCAUCGUUUCAAUUAUCAGGUAUACAGAGGAGAUAUGGAAGGACCUAGAACAAGGAAGUCUUUAUGAAGGGAACACACACACAUAAAAGCUACGGAGCUGAUUUCGAUUACUCCUCUAUUUAACAUUUUCCUGGGAUAUUGCCAUGCCAGAUGCUGGGUUUUAUAAAUAAUACCGCUAUGGCGCUAUAAACCUUUGUGGGUCUUAUUAGACGAGGUAUGCUUCUACUUAUUCACCAUAUAGGCCCAUCAUCGCAUUACUUCUUACUCCUUUCACGAAUGCUAUUUAAUUUGCUAUAUCUAGAUCCAAGUAGCUUCAAUUUAUAGAACUCCUAGCAUGGUGUUUCUUCAAUGUAAUAUUUAGUGAUUUCCUCUUAGCUCUUGGUCAGGUGCAGAGUAUGUCUGGGUGUUUAUUUUCAUGAGAUACGGUUCAAUUGCCCUCUUCUGCAUAAUUCCACUUCAUGGUACCUCAUUCUAUACUAUAUAUUUCAGAUGUCACCGGCAACAAGAUACCGAUAUUUGAGAAAGGUUUGACGUUUAUCCUGCUAGGAUCCUGGGAUUGAUAGAUGCGUGUGUAUGUUGCUCUGUGCCCAAUCUUUCAUCUCAUGUAUCUGCCCCGAUCUUCCAUCAUAGUGGUCACAUAGGUAGGUAAUGUCCAAUCUAUGUACAUGCCCCUCUCCCAGAUUGAUUCUGCGGACAAAGUGACUAGCGUCAGUAUGGCUACAUGCCACUAUGGCUGUUGUGUUAUUCAUCUAUCUACAUACACUGGCUACUUGCAUCCUCCAGCAAGCACAAGAUUUUGAUCUAGAGAGCCAGACAAGUCCCACCAAAGCUAUCACAAGCAAGCACGUGAAGUGAUGAACCAGAUAAUCUACUUGAAAGAAAACAGCUGGCUGGACACCAUUGACGAUAAGCAUCAGUAGCAACAACAGCUCCGGUACUGCCUGCGUCAGGUCUUCUCGGUUGAUAUACACCAGCUCAAGUAGUCCCAGCGCAUUGACGAUAAUUGGUAGCAGCAACAGCUCCGGUACUGCCUGCGCCAGGUCUUUUCUGUUGAUAUAGACGAGCUCAAGUAGUCCCAGCAAAGCAGGAUUAUCACUGAUAGAAUCAGCCGCAAGAUUGUCACAAGGCCACCAUCUUCGUGUUGUAUGAACUCAUUGUUCAGUUUGGCUUUGUACUGCGAAGCACAUACAAAAAAAAGAAGCUCCGGUUGUUAAUUGUGUUGCUAA